This 460-nucleotide ribosomal RNA is filed under the name uncultured bacterium. Its description in RNAcentral is "partial 16S ribosomal RNA". It matches the Rfam family "Bacterial small subunit ribosomal RNA", at positions 338 to 795 of the family's 1533-position model. The record is from RNAcentral.
CCUACGGGUGGCAGCAGUGAGGAAUCUUGGUCAAUGGACGCAAGUCUGAACCAGCCAUGCCGCGUGCAGGAAUACGGCUCUAUGAGUUGUAAACUGCUUUUGUACGAGGGUAAACGCAGAUACGCGUAUCUGUCUGAAAGUAUCGUACGAAUAAGGAUCGGCUAACUCCGUGCCAGCAGCCGCGGUAAUACGGAGGAUUCAAGCGUUAUCCGGAUUUAUUGGGUUUAAAGUGUGCGUAGGCGGUCUGAUAAGUUAGAGGUGAAAUCCCGAGGCUCAACUUCGGAAUUGCCUCUGAUACUGUUAGGCUAGAGAGUAGUUGCGGUAGGCGGAAUGUAUGGUGUAGCGGUGAAAUGCUUAGAGAUCAUACAGAACACCGAUUGCGAAGGCAGCUUACCAAGCUACUUCUGACGUUGAGGCACGAAAGCGUGGGGAGCAAACAGGAUUAGAUACCCUAGUAGUC